RNAcentral lists this ribosomal RNA (408 nucleotides) under uncultured bacterium. RNAcentral describes it as "bacterial SSU rRNA". It matches the Rfam family "Bacterial small subunit ribosomal RNA", at positions 355 to 773 of the family's 1533-position model. The record is from RNAcentral.
UGGGGAAUAUUGCGCAAUGGGCGGAAGCCUGACGCAGCGACGCCGCGUGGGGGAUGAAGGCCUUCGGGUUGUAAACCUCUUUCGCCGGAGACGAAGCCGUGAGGUGACGGUAUCCGGGGAAGAAGCGCCGGCUAACUACGUGCCAGCAGCCGCGGUAAUACGUAGGGCGCGAGCGUUGUCCGGAAUUAUUGGGCGUAAAGAGCUCGUAGGCGGCCGGUUGCGUCUGCUGUGAAAUCCCGGGGCUUAACCCCGGGCGUGCAGUGGAUACGGGCUGGCUGGAGGCAGGCAGGGGAGAAUGGAAUUCCCGGUGUAGCGGUGAAAUGCGCAGAUAUCGGGAGGAACACCGGUGGCGAAGGCGGUUCUCUGGGCCUGUGCUGACGCUGAGGAGCGAAAGCGUGGGGAGCAAAC